ACUGGAAUCAAACCUGGGACCCUUCAGUUCGCAGCCAACACUCUAUCCACUGAGCCAAACCAGCCAGGACCACAGCAUAUUGUUAACAAAUGAAUUUGCUGGCUAUUAUGUAUAGGAGUACAAUCUUAUAUCUCACUGAGUGCUUACUUCACUGAAGGUAUUUAUUGAUCUGUUGCCUCAUUUGCCUCAGGAAAGAACCAGACAGAUAUACCAGACUGUUCUAUGCUUUGAGAAGAAAAUAAUAUUGGUUUCAGGAAUCAGCUUCACGCGAUUGUUAGGAGAGAAAAUUGACAUCUUUCUCU
Long non-coding RNA from Eptesicus fuscus (big brown bat), 302 nucleotides. RefSeq lists it as uncharacterized. The record is from RefSeq and is a predicted model, not a curated record. NCBI's taxonomy places the organism in Eukaryota, Metazoa, Chordata, Mammalia, Chiroptera, Vespertilionidae. The transcript has 3 exons.